This is a small RNA of 191 nucleotides. It matches the Rfam family "Listeria sRNA rli28". The record is from Rfam.
CUUUUUAUGCUAUAAUUAAAGGGUAGAGAAGUUAAGGCGGUGGCGCUCUUUUUUUAUGGGAGGUGGUCGCUAUGGUGUAAUAUCCUUAGCAAGUACUAUUCUAAAGAAAGGAGCAGCCUCGUGUCCGUUAAGGAUGCGUUGCAGCUAAUGCUUGCCUUUGGUACUUUUACCAUUGAGCUGAUAGCUUUAGU